This 253-nucleotide ribosomal RNA is filed under the name uncultured bacterium. Its description in RNAcentral is "partial 16S ribosomal RNA". It matches the Rfam family "Bacterial small subunit ribosomal RNA", at positions 524 to 776 of the family's 1533-position model. The record is from RNAcentral.
UACGUAGGCAGCAAGCGUUGUUCGGAGUUACUGGGCGUAAAGGGUGCGUAGGCGGCCUUCUAAGUCUGGUGUGAAAUCUCCCGGCUUAACUGGGAGGGUGCGCUAUAGACUGUGGGGCUAGAGUGUGGGAGAGGAAAGUGGAAUUCCUGGUGUAGCGGUGAAAUGCGUAGAUAUCAGGAGGAACACCGGUGGUGUAAACGGCUUUCUGGACCAUAACUGACGCUGAGGCACGAAAGCGUGGGUAGCAAACAGG